AUAGAGAGAGAGAGAGAUAAAUUCAAAUGUUUAAAGUAAUUAUUGUGUUUUUGUAUGCAUAAAUGUGGGCCAAUCAUAAUUAAAUAAAAAUUUAAAUAAUUAAAUAAAUAAACAAGGGUAUUUUAAUAAUUUGAUAAAUAUCUUCCACAAAUAGUCCAUGUAAUCACGCUAACAUUCACUUGUAACCUAAUUUCUUUUUUUAUAUACAACAGGUCAUCGUCUUCCACAAAUCGUCUUCAUCCCUCCAUUCACAAUCGAGCUAGCCUUCCCUCCCUGAUACUUCCGAUCAUUGUGGCCAUUAUCUGCUUCUAAUUAGUCGAUGGUCCCAAUCGUUGCUUCCCCAGUUGUCGCGCAAACACACACACGCAUAUCAUUGCGCCCAAGAAUUCUUCAUCUGGGUUGGCGUGGAAACUCUCAUUGAUUGUGAUCUUAAGUCAAGAAUCCCAACAGAAGGUUUUGUAAAAUGCGAAGUUUCAUCUGAUAUUUUCUCUGAUCUCAUUGAUUUUGAACGCCAAUUCAAUGGAAUUGAGAGUUGGAAUCAGAAACAGUUUCUCUGAAUUUCUCCUCUAACUUGAUUAGAACCAAACCCCUAAACUUUCCCUUUUUAUUUCAUCCCCAAAAGUUGAAGAAGAAUCUUGAAUUACUGAUUUCACAGCAGCAGAAUCCAAACUUUUAGAACCAAUAUUUUUUUUUUUAUUGUUUUGCGUUUACUUAAUUGCUCAAAAACAAAGUUUUUGUCAUCAAUAACAACCAUGGAUUCCCUUAUAAAAUUCUGAUUUAGCUUCUUCCUAUCAGAUUUAGCUUCUUCUUAUCCGAUUUAGCUUCUUCCUAUCGCAUGGACCCUUAAUUUGCAAAGGUUUGAUCAUCUACAUAGCUUGUCUUUUUCUGAUUCUUUUGACAGGAAAUGAUUACUUUGCUUUUCAUUCAAAUUUUUUUUCCUGAUUUAACACUUCAUUUAUGUGGACAGUGCAGGAUCUUGACAAUGUUGAAUUCUGAAAAGGUAUCAAGUAUGUUUAUGUAGAUGAUUCAAUGAAUGAUAUAUUGGUGAGAUUCCAAUUCUAUUGGAAUGGAAUGACGAAUUCCAAUUCUGUUGGAAUCACAGAAGUUGAUGCUUGAAGAACAGACCACAAAAUUGAAAUGGACCACAUUAUUCUUUUAGAAUGUAUUAGUCAUUGUUAGAUUUUAAUGUUUUCUUUCCCGUUUUGAUUGUUAUUAAGUUUUAUUCUUUAACAAUAAAUGUAAUUUUUAACAAUUGUUAUCCGUAUUCUAUAAGAAAUAUUGUAUUUUUUGUUUUUA
Lactuca sativa (garden lettuce) is the source of this 1296-nucleotide non-coding RNA. Lineage: Eukaryota; Viridiplantae; Streptophyta; Magnoliopsida; Asterales; Asteraceae. The record is from RefSeq and is a predicted model, not a curated record.